Molecule: long non-coding RNA, 419 nt
Filed under: Struthio camelus australis
Lineage: Eukaryota; Metazoa; Chordata; Aves; Struthioniformes; Struthionidae
Description: lncRNA (ENSSCUG00000003113.1)
Source: RNAcentral
UGCUAUUAAUCUGACAUAUGUUCACCAUAUCGCAGCGUUAGCCUGUGGGGAAAUGGCUGAAGAAUAUUUGGACAGUAAAAGUUUGGAGCAGUGAGGACAUGCAACUCCCUGGAGUGUCUUCACCUGAAGACGUACCUUGGCAGACCACGUAGGACCACAUUUGGGUGGCGGCAGAUAUGGAUUCCAGUCCACAUCUGUAGAGAAGGAAGGGGCUUAUGGGCUCCUGCGUAUCGGGGAAGCAUACUUAUGUCUAGCAUAUAGGAACCAGCCGUUUAUUCUCAAGUAAUGGUACCCAAGCCACUGGAAAUAUUUGUAUUGCUUUGAGGGGCUCAUAUCUUUUGUUAUGUUUUGCCCUGAUUUGUGAAAUGGUAGUUUUCAGCAAACAAAUGAUUUGCUAACCAAAAAAUAAAAAUAGAGCU